AACGAACGCUGUCGGCAUGCUUAACACAUGCAAGUCGAACGAGACCUUCGGGUCUAGUGGCGCACGGGUGCGUAACGCGUGGGAAUCUGCCCUUUGCUACGGAAUAACUCAGAGAAAUUUGUGCUAAUACCGUAUAAUGUCGAAAGACCGAAGAUUUAUCGGCAAAGGAUGAGCCCGCGUAGGAUUAGCUAGUUGGUGAGGUAAAGGCUCACCAAGGCGACGAUCCUUAGCUGGUCUGAGAGGAUGAUCAGCCACACUGGGACUGAGACACGGCCCAGACUCCUACGGGAGGCAGCAGUGGGGAAUAUUGGACAAUGGGCGAAAGCCUGAUCCAGCAAUGCCGCGUGAGUGACGAAGGCCUUAGGGUUGUAAAGCUCUUUUACCAGGGAUGAUAAUGACAGUACCUGGAGAAUAAGCUCCGGCUAACUCCGUGCCAGCCGCCGCCGUAA
Molecule: ribosomal RNA, 449 nt
Filed under: uncultured bacterium
Lineage: Bacteria
Description: partial 16S ribosomal RNA
Rfam family: Bacterial small subunit ribosomal RNA
Source: RNAcentral